Molecule: long non-coding RNA, 708 nt
Organism: Eutrema salsugineum
Lineage: Eukaryota; Viridiplantae; Streptophyta; Magnoliopsida; Brassicales; Brassicaceae
Exons: 5
Source: RefSeq, a predicted model, not a curated record
AACCUUAGUUGUUAACGCAAGUAUCAGCUUAUUAUUGGGCCGACAGAAAACGUUUUUUAUUUUCAUUUUCUGCUUAAUCCGAAAUCGAUUUGUUUUCUUCUCUAUCUCUUUUCUCUCUCGAUAUCCAGAACUCCGACGAUAUCUCUUUGACGAUGAGCCUCUGUUAACUGUAUUGGCGAGACAGAACUGACCAUCGACGAUCAAUCACGUAGACAAGUUAUUGAGAAUGGAGUUGCUGCUGAUCCAAGAGUCGUCGUGAACCAGCCGCCUUCUUCGCCGAGAAGUCAAGAUUCCGGUGUUUCUUCCGACGGAAGAAGAGCUUUGGUCAAGGGAAACGGAGGAUGAACGCUCGAGCAAGCAUGGCUCAGGAGAAGAUGUCAUCAGAAGAACCGUUUAUGUCUCUGCUCUCGAUCAACAGGUUACUGAAGAACAGCUUGCUGAUUGCCGUAUAUGUGGUGACCCAAACUCAGUCCUCCGGUUUGCGUUCAUCGAGUUCACUGAUGAAGGACAUUUGGCCAGCAAGGUUUUGGUCACACACGUCUGGUUUACAAACCUGUGAUGAUAUAAAAAACAAACAAGAGGGUCCAUUUGUUUUGUUUUCUAGUUUUGUAAGCCGCUAAAUUCUUUGCACUAACGAGAACCAUAUAUUUCUUCUAUUUCUUGUAAGCCACAUAUGUUUUCUAUUCUCCGUAUAUAAAUGUGUUGUGU